GUCUGCAGGGUGACAACCUGGGCUGCUUGGGCGGGGACGUGUAUGCCACCCCCCAUAAACCUCAUCUCUGCUCACCCCACAGCUUCCAGAAAAAGAUCUCGGACUCUGGGAGAGCUCUCAAAGACAGGAAGCUCCUUCGCCAGAGGAUCCACUCCUUGCCGCAGUGGCAGCUGGAAGGCAGCCCGGUCCUGAAGGACAUCACCCAGCUCCAGGAGCGCAGGGACAGAGGGCGGCGGCGCCAGAGGGAUCCCAGGGAUGAGGAGGGCUUUGUCGCCAAGAAGCUGCAGAGGCUGGGCCAGCGGAGCCAGCUGCUCACCGGCCAUGGGGCUGCCAGGAGGGACUCCCUUGCCAAAAGCCCCUGCAGUGCACCAGAGCUGCUGGUGAGAGAGGCUGGGAAGCUUGGGAGGGCACCAAGGAUGGGUGAUCCUGGGGCUGAAUACAUGGGAGCUGCCGCUCCAACCUCCCUCAGUGCCCUGGAG
This 479-nucleotide long non-coding RNA is filed under the name Cyanistes caeruleus (blue tit). RNAcentral describes it as "lncRNA (ENSCCEG00000010176.1)". Lineage: Eukaryota; Metazoa; Chordata; Aves; Passeriformes; Paridae. The record is from RNAcentral.